RNAcentral lists this long non-coding RNA (757 nucleotides) under Marmota monax (woodchuck). The record is from RNAcentral. Lineage: Eukaryota; Metazoa; Chordata; Mammalia; Rodentia; Sciuridae.
GAGAGAGAGAAUUUUAAUAUUUAUUUAUUUAUUUUAGUUAUCGGCGGACACAACAUCUUUGUUUGUAUGUGGUGCUGAGGAUCGAACCCGUGCCGCGCAUGCCUGGUGAGCGCACUACCACUUGAGCCACAUCCCCAGCCCGCCUGUUAGUUUUUUGCAGAGGUACUGCUUCACACAAACUAACAACAACAACAAAAUCCCUAAAUAAACCUGGGUUAAUUUGAGAUAAUAAGCUAUCAACUACAGCACAAAUAUUAUAUAAUGCUGACUUCCACUACUAAUUCUAACCCCAAUUAAAUAAAAGUGGUGUCUGUAAAAUUAUAGAUAUUGAAGAUAUAACCUGUGACUCUCUCAUUAAAACUGGUGAAACUGGCUUGCUGGUGUUUAAAAUGAAAACCUUGGAGACCAAAGUGAAGAAAGUAAAAGGGCCAAGGAAAAAGCAGCCAAUGUUUUGGCUCUUGCACUAUAAGGUUGACCAGAACCCAGGGAACCAUGGGACCCCUCUCUGGGCUCUGCAAUUCUGGUGAGUCACCUGAUCUGAUCAGGGAGAUCUAGAGGAUCCCAGAGAACAGGAAACCAAAACCAGUGCACAGUCUCCAAAGAGGAGGGUCAUUAGAGAUGGAAAUGUUCAUGAUGCUUCCGCAAGAAGCCACAUAUGGUCAUUAGGACCCUUAUUCAUCCUGACAGAUAGAACCACUGGUAGAUGAAAGCCAAAGGAGCCAAGAGACUUUGCACACAUCCCCAAGGAUGAUCUCUG